GUUUGUUUAUGUGUUACAUAUUUGUUUUUCGUUCAUUUUUUUUCACAUAGAUAAGGCCUUUAGUUUUCUCGUUUGAAUUGUUUUACAUUGUCUUAUCGUGGCCUAUUAUAGCUGACUAUGCGGUAUGGGCUUUGCUCAUUGUUGAAGUCCGUAUGGUGACCUAUAGUUGUUAAUGUCUGUGUCAUUUUGGUCUUUUGUGGAUAGUUGUCUCAUUGGAAAUCAUACCACAUCUUCUUUUUUAUAUUUGC
Molecule: long non-coding RNA, 248 nt
Filed under: Mytilus galloprovincialis (Mediterranean mussel)
Lineage: Eukaryota; Metazoa; Mollusca; Bivalvia; Mytilida; Mytilidae
Source: RNAcentral